This is a non-coding RNA of Vicia faba (fava bean), 243 nucleotides long. The record is from the annotation of a GenBank genome assembly. NCBI's taxonomy places the organism in Eukaryota, Viridiplantae, Streptophyta, Magnoliopsida, Fabales, Fabaceae.
AUGAUGGUUGGUCCUGGAUAUUGUUGCAAUGCUUUGAAGAUAAAGAUAAGAAACCCAAAGAUUCUCUAUUCCAAGCAUAUGCACGCUUCUUCCUUCUCCUUCAAUUCUGCUUAUUUCUGCCUAUUUGUUAUUAUUAUUGUGUUUCUUUAUGGUUCUUUUCACAAACUUUCUCAAUCUCCUUCUAUAUGUGUUUUUGUUGUUGAGUCUGUUGUCCGCAUUUUUGUUGCUCUGAGUGGUUAUUGA